Molecule: non-coding RNA, 101 nt
Organism: Lentinula detonsa
Lineage: Eukaryota; Fungi; Basidiomycota; Agaricomycetes; Agaricales; Omphalotaceae
Source: the annotation of a GenBank genome assembly
GCUUCCUUAGCUCAGUCGGUAGAGCGCGAGUCUCAUAGAAAUUGAGGGACAUUGAGGGUCUCAUAAUCUCGAGGUCGCAAGUUCGAGCCUUGCAGGGAGCA